Molecule: long non-coding RNA, 204 nt
Filed under: Elaeis guineensis (African oil palm)
Lineage: Eukaryota; Viridiplantae; Streptophyta; Magnoliopsida; Arecales; Arecaceae
Description: long non-coding RNA (EGUI_LNC056299)
Source: RNAcentral
CCUCCUUCAAGUCUUAUAUCACUUUGGAGUGUCCAAGGUGCUUGUAAAAGAAAGAAAAGGUCAGCUGUCGUAGUUGUUUGCAGACUAGAAUCUUCGAGCCCCUAAUCUGCACCAGUCUUUGUGUGGAUUUUUCUAUAGAGAUUAGAUGACUUUGUGUGGCUAUGUGUGACCUGAGAAACACUCUCUCUAAUUGUUAGAUCAGAG